CGCGCGCGCUCCCAGGAAGCUCGGCGCGUCGCGGAAGCCUCCGCCCGCGUUUAGAUAAACAGCCACCUGGGUUACCCAACAACACCCCACCCCGUCUGCCCCGUUGAACCCCGGGGCCUGCGUACUGAGCAUGCGCAGUUCUUCCUCCUGCGACGGGAGCCGCUUCUACUUGAGAACGCCACGGUCAGAAUUUGGCGGAGACAAGAUGUUGGAGGGGCCAGAGCAAUCUCCGGGCUUUAACAUGAGGCGAGGAGAAGAAGAUACUGGCAAGGUCCAGAAGGAGGCCUUCGCAUGAGGGCCUUGCUGGGCACCACCCAGUCUGUCAGCAUUCCUGAGAGCUUUGGUUUUAUCUUGUAUAAACAUAAGAAGCUUUAAGGGAGGAGCAUAAAUACAACGAAAUGCAGCUUUGUUUUAAGCGUCAGGACACUGAGGGGGAAGUGACAGACCCCCAUUCAGCCCACUGCCCGAGGCGGCGAAGGCCAGAAACCGCGGAAGCCGGGCCCUCGCUCUGUGACGUCGCCGGGGGUCCCUCCCACCUUCCCUAGCCCCGCCCUUCUUCAGUGCCUGAUAAAAGUCGAGCUCUUCCCACGCCCUGUCAGCUACGGGCGCCUGGAAAACCGGGAGAGCGGAUUCCCCCGCAGCAGCCAGAAGGCCCGGGAACACCUCAUAGCAACAGCCAGCCGGGGCAUCUAGUAGGAAGCUGGGAUUCAUUUCAGCCAACCAGCCCGCGCUUUUGGACCCCGUGGUAUCAUUCUCGACCAAUAGAGAGCCGCUUCAUGCCACGUGACACUGACCCAUCAGCCAAUGGAGGAAAACUCUAGUCGCAGGCUCAGCUAUCCCAUCUGCCACUGUUGGCCAGGCUGGGCGUUUGCCCCUGCGCACACUCUGCCAACCAAUCAUAGGUCCCCAAAAGUUGAGAAGCUCUGGACUGGAGUGCAUCUGAUAGAAGUUGUCACAAAAAAAUAACCUUCGUUAAGAGUCAUCACUGAAGUGCAGUCCAGCAAUGAUUACAUCUGAUAAACUGCAAAAUGGAGAAUCUAGGAUUCUUGAAGCUACUGUCAGAUAAUAGGGUCUCUGAAUGAACUGAAUCCAAAUACAGCCAGCUCUGAAGCACUCCCAGCACCCUUUCAGAAGAUGACGUCAGUGGAAAAUGACUCCAUAAUACGUGCCACUUAUAGUAGCAUCCCCACAGACCCAAGCCUAACUGUACUCGAG
Delphinapterus leucas (beluga whale) is the source of this 1215-nucleotide long non-coding RNA. RefSeq lists it as uncharacterized. Lineage: Eukaryota; Metazoa; Chordata; Mammalia; Artiodactyla; Monodontidae. The record is from RefSeq and is a predicted model, not a curated record.